RNAcentral lists this ribosomal RNA (533 nucleotides) under Hanseniaspora osmophila. RNAcentral's name for it is "eukaryotic LSU rRNA". It matches the Rfam family "Eukaryotic large subunit ribosomal RNA", at positions 104 to 655 of the family's 3401-position model. Lineage: Eukaryota; Fungi; Ascomycota; Saccharomycetes; Saccharomycodales; Saccharomycodaceae. The record is from RNAcentral.
AAGCUCAAUUUGAAAUCUGGCACUUUCAGUGUCCGAGUUGUAAUUUGUAGAAGUAGUUUUGGGGCUGGUCCUUGUUUAUGUUCCUUGGAACAGGACGUCAUAGAGGGUGAGAAUCCCGUGUGGCGAGGAUCCCAGUCCUUUGUAAAACGCUUUCGAAGAGUCGAGUUGUUUGGGAAUGCAGCUCUAAGUGGGUGGUAAAUUCCAUCUAAAGCUAAAUAUUGGCGAGAGACCGAUAGCGAACAAGUACAGUGAUGGAAAGAUGAAAAGAACUUUGAAAAGAGAGUGAAAAAGUACGUGAAAUUGUUGAAAGGGAAGGGCAUUUGAUCAGACAUGGUGUUUGGACGCCCUGCGCUCCUUGUGGGUGCAGGACACGCUUUUCACUGGGCCAACAUCAGUUUUGGCAGCAGGAUAAAUCGCCAGGAACGUAGCUGCCCUCGGGUAGUGUUACAGCCUGGUGGAAUACUGCUAGCCGGGACUGAGGACUGCGUCUUUUGACAAGGAUGUUGGCAUAAUGGUUAAAUGCCGCCCGUCUU